UUGAACGCUGGCGGCAGGCCUAACACAUGCAAGUCGCGCGGAUGAAGGGAGCUUGCUCCUGGAUUCAGCGGCGGACGGGUGAGUAAUGCCUAGGAAUCUGCCUGGUAGUGGGGGAUAACGUCCGGAAACGGGCGCUAAUACCGCAUACGUCCUGAGGGAGAAAGUGGGGGAUCUUCGGACCUCACGCUAUCAGAUGAGCCUAGGUCGGAUUAGCUAGUUGGUGGGGUAAAGGCCUACCAAGGCGACGAUCCGUAACUGGUCUGAGAGGAUGAUCAGUCACACUGGAACUGAGACACGGUCCAGACUCCUACGGGAGGCAGCAGUGGGGAAUAUUGGACAAUGGGCGAAAGCCUGAUCCAGCCAUGCCGCGUGUGUGAAGAAGGUCUUCGGAUUGUAAAGCACUUUAAGUUGGGAGGAAGGGCAGUAAGUUAAUACCUUGCUGUUUUGACGUUACCAGCAGAAUAAGCACCGGCUAACUUCGUG
This 483-nucleotide ribosomal RNA is filed under the name uncultured bacterium. RNAcentral's name for it is "partial 16S ribosomal RNA". It matches the Rfam family "Bacterial small subunit ribosomal RNA", at positions 30 to 507 of the family's 1533-position model. The record is from RNAcentral.